Molecule: unclassified non-coding RNA, 337 nt
Filed under: soil metagenome
Description: partial contains 5.8S ribosomal RNA, internal transcribed spacer 2, and large subunit ribosomal RNA
Rfam family: 5.8S ribosomal RNA (bases 1-120)
Source: RNAcentral
GAUGAAGAACGUAGCGAAAUGCGAUAAGUAGUGUGAAUUGCAGAAUUCAGUGAAUCAUCGAAUCUUUGAACGCACAUUGCGCCCCAUGGUAUUCCGUGGGGCAUGCCUGUUCGAGCGUCAUUUACCCCCUCAAGCUCCGCUUGGUGUUGGGCGUCUGUCCCGCUUCGCGCGCGGACUCGCCCCAAAGGUAUUGGCAGCGGUCGUGCCAGCUUCUCGCGCAGCACAUUGCGCUUCUCGAGGCACCGGUGGGCCCGCGUCCAUCAAGCUCACCCCCCCAGUUUGACAUCGGAUCAGGUAGGGAUACCCGCUGAACUUAAGCAUAUCAAUAAGCGGAGGA